RNAcentral lists this ribosomal RNA (467 nucleotides) under uncultured bacterium. RNAcentral describes it as "SSU rRNA". It matches the Rfam family "Bacterial small subunit ribosomal RNA", at positions 26 to 518 of the family's 1533-position model. The record is from RNAcentral.
AGGACGAACGCUUGCGGCGUGCCUAAGAAAUGCAAGUCGAACGGGGGCUUCGGCCCUAGUGGCGAACGGUCGCGUAACACGUGGGCAACCUGCCCUGAAGCGGGGGACAACAAUUCGAAAGGAUUGCUAAUACCGCAUGUGGUCUGCUGAGGCAUCUCAGUAGCCUAAAGGACUUCGGUUCACUUCAGGAUGGGCCCGCGGCCUAUCAGCUAGUUGGUGGGGUAAUGGCCUACCAAGGCUUCGACGGGUAGCUGGUCUGAGAGGACGACCAGCCGGAUUGGGACUGAGAUACGGCCCAGACUCCUACGGGGGGCAGCAAUUAGGAAUCUUGCGCAAUGGGGGAAACCCUGACGCAGCGACGCCGCGUGAAGGAUGAAGUCUUUCGGGAUGUAAACUUCUUUCUCAGGGAAGAAGAAUGUGACGGUACCUGAGGAAUAAGCCCCGGCUAACUACGUGCCAGCAGCCGC